AUUGAACGCUGGCGGCGUGCCUAACACAUGCAAGUCGAGCGGUAACAGGUGUAGCAAUACAUGCUGACGAGCGGCGGACGGGUGAGUAACGCUUGGGAAUCUGCCUAUUAGUGGGGGACAACCCGGGGAAACUCGGGCUAAUACCGCAUACGCUCUACGGAGGAAAGCCGGGGACCGCAAGGCCUGGCGCUAAUAGAUGAGCCCAAGUCGGAUUAGCUAGUUGGUAGGGUAANGGCCUACCAAGGCGACGAUCCGUAACUGGUCUGAGAGGACGACCAGUCACACCGGAACUGAGACACGGUCCGGACUCCUACGGGAGGCAGCAGUGGGGAAUAUUGGACAAUGGGCGAAAGCCUGAUCCAGCGACGCCGCGUGGGUGAAGAAGGCCUGCGGGUUGUAAAGCCCUUUCAGUGGGGAAGAAAAGCCUCGACCUAACACGUCGGGGUCUUGACGUAACCCAUAGAAGAAGCACCGGCUAACUCUGUGCCAGCCGCCGCGGUAAU
Molecule: ribosomal RNA, 503 nt
Filed under: uncultured bacterium
Lineage: Bacteria
Description: bacterial SSU rRNA
Rfam family: Bacterial small subunit ribosomal RNA
Source: RNAcentral